GCUUGGCUGGCUCAGUCGAAGAGCAUGAGACUCUUGAUCUCAGGGUUGUGAGUUUGAGCCCCACACUAGGUG
RNAcentral lists this transfer RNA (72 nucleotides) under Felis catus (domestic cat). It matches the Rfam family "tRNA". From Rfam's summary of the family: Transfer RNA (tRNA) molecules are approximately 80 nucleotides in length. Their secondary structure includes four short double-helical elements and three loops (D, anti-codon, and T loops). Lineage: Eukaryota; Metazoa; Chordata; Mammalia; Carnivora; Felidae. The record is from Rfam by way of RNAcentral.